AGAGUUUGAUCAUGGCUCAGGACGAACGCUGGCGGCGUGGAUUAGGCAUGCAAGUCGAACGACGGACACCUUCGGGUGUUACGGAGUGGCGAACGGGUGAGUAACACGUGAACAACUUGCCCCUAUGUUCCGGAUAAUUGGCCGAAAGGCCUUGUAAUACGGGGGAGGAUCGGUCUUUGGCAUCUUAGACCGAGGGAAGUCGCAAGACGCAUAGGGAGAGGUUCGCGGAUUAUCAGGUAGUUGGUGGGGUAACGGCCUACCAAGCCUACGACGAUUAGCUGGUCUGAGAGGAUGGUCAGCCACAUUGGAACUGAGACACUGUCCAGACUCCUACGGGAGGCUGCAGUCGAGAAUCUUGGUCAAUGCACGAAAGUGUGAACCAGCGACGCCGCGUGAAGGAUGAAGGCCCUCUGGGUCGUAAACUUCUUUUACGGGAGAAGAACACAAUGACGGUAUCCCGUGAAUAAGCCACGGCUAACUACGUGCCAGCAGCCGCGGUAAUACGUAGGUGGCAAGCGUUGUCCGGAUUUACUGGGCGUAAAGCGAACGCAGGCGGACCUUUAAGUAGGAAGUGAAAGGUUGGAGCUCAACUCUAACACUGCUCCCUAUACUGGAGGUCUUGAGUGCCGGAGAGGAAGACGGAACAAGUUGUGUAGCGGUGAAAUGCGUUGAUAUAACUUGGAACACCAAUGGCGAAAGCAGUCUUCUGGACGGAUACUGACGCUCAGGUUCGAAAGCCAAGGUAGCAAACAGGAUUAGAUACCCUAGUAGUCC
RNAcentral lists this ribosomal RNA (774 nucleotides) under uncultured bacterium. RNAcentral describes it as "bacterial SSU rRNA". It matches the Rfam family "Bacterial small subunit ribosomal RNA", at positions 8 to 796 of the family's 1533-position model. The record is from RNAcentral.